This 503-nucleotide ribosomal RNA is filed under the name uncultured bacterium. RNAcentral's name for it is "partial 16S ribosomal RNA". It matches the Rfam family "Bacterial small subunit ribosomal RNA", at positions 28 to 523 of the family's 1533-position model. The record is from RNAcentral.
GAUGAACGCUAGCGGCAGGCCUAACACAUGCAAGUCGAGGGGCAGCACAGAAACAGCAAUGUUUUGGUGGCGACCGGCGGACGGGUGCGUAACGCGUAUGCAACCUACCUUUAACAGGGGGAUAACGGAGAGAAAUUUCCACUAAUACCCCAUAACAUCGAUCAAGGCAUCUUGAUUGGUUGAAAACUCCGGUGGUUAAAGAUGGGCAUGCGUUGUAUUAGGUAGUUGGUGAGGUAAUGGCUCACCAAGCCGACGAUACAUAGGGGGGACUGAGAGGUUAGCCCCCCACACUGGUGCGAAGACACGGACCAAACUCCUACGGGAGGCAGAAGAGCGGAAUAUUGGUGACUGGGGGCAACCCUGAACCAGCCAUGCCGCGUGCAGGAAGACGGGUCUAUGAGUUGUAAACUGCUUUUAAACAGGGAUAAAGCACAGUAUGUAUACUGUGUUGAAGGUACUGUAAGAAUAAGGAUCGGCUAACUCCGUGCCAGCAGCCGCCGUAA